UGUAAAUUCUUAACCAUGUCCGUUUUUUCUAGACAAAUAUUGUCAAGAACAGGCUUCACAGUUAGAUUGAUAACCAUACUAGACAAUUUAUCCUUGUGCAAGGGGCAACAAAAUAACGAAUUUUCCUUCAAAUGAGGAUAUAAGCACUGAAAUGCUUGAUAUAAUGGCAUUUCAUAUUUUAAAAAAGUUUCGUUUGGAUAUGUUAGACCUCCACGAUCUUGCAAGAAUAUCAAACGGAGCAAAGGCCCUGGAAGUGUUGUGGAAACUAAUGGUGAUACACACACGUCACACUUUAAUUUAUCAUUCAGUUUCUUAAUUAUGUAACCUGCUAGGAACGCUACUGACGCAGAAUAUAUUGUAUUGUUAGCAGGCAUGUUUGUCUUCAAAUUUUGAAUUUUCAUUCUUAACUGAAAAGUUUCAGAAAUAUUUGCCGAUGUGGAAGCCUUAACAAUGCC
Molecule: long non-coding RNA, 455 nt
Organism: Zophobas morio
Lineage: Eukaryota; Metazoa; Arthropoda; Insecta; Coleoptera; Tenebrionidae
Exons: 3
Source: RefSeq, a predicted model, not a curated record